CAGUAGCCGCGGUAAUACGAAGGGGGCUAGCGUUGUUCGGAUUUACUGGGCGUAAAGCGCACGUAGGCGGGUCGUUAAGUCGGGGGUGAAAUCCUGGAGCUCAACUCCAGAACUGCCUUCGAUACUGGCGAUCUUGAGUCCGGAAGAGGUGAGUGGAACUCCUAGUGUAGAGGUGGAAUUCGUAGAUAUUAGGAAGAACACCAGUGGUGAAGGCGGCUCACUGGUCCGGUACUGACGCUGAGGUGCGAAAGCGUGGGGAGCAAACAGGAUUAGAUACCCGCGUAGUCCCUGUCUCUUAUAC
RNAcentral lists this ribosomal RNA (301 nucleotides) under uncultured bacterium. RNAcentral describes it as "partial 16S ribosomal RNA". It matches the Rfam family "Bacterial small subunit ribosomal RNA", at positions 509 to 807 of the family's 1533-position model. The record is from RNAcentral.